Molecule: ribosomal RNA, 804 nt
Filed under: Paralagenidium karlingii
Lineage: Eukaryota; Oomycota; Peronosporomycetes
Description: eukaryotic LSU rRNA
Rfam family: 5.8S ribosomal RNA (bases 222-377)
Source: RNAcentral
CAUUACCACACCAAAAAAACAUUUUCCACGUGAACCGUUGUCUGUAUGGUUUGUACUGCUGCUCGUCUUCGGGCUUGUAGUGGCGGUUGAGCAAAGCUUACGUUGAUUGAUUCGUCCUUGUGGCUGAGUCUCCGUGAGCGCCCAUUUUUAAACCCUUUACCCAUACCUCAUUUUCUGAUGCAUACUCCGAGAACGAAAGUUCUUGGUUUUAACUAGAUAACAACUUUCAGCAGUGGAUGUCUAGGCUCGCACAACGAUGAAGAACGCUGCGAACUGCGAUACGUAAUGCGAAUUGCAGGAUUCAGUGAGUCAUCGAGAUUUUGAACGCACAUGGCACUCUCGAGUUUAUUCUUGGGAGUAUGUCUGUAUCAGUGUCUGUUGUAAAAACUUGCCUUUUGUGUGUGUUUUCUUCGAGAGCGUGCGCGACUGUGCAGAAGGUGAAGUGUCUUGCUGCGUGUUUUGUGCGGCGAGUCCUUUUAAAUGCAGUUUGCUUCUGUGUGGUUCGAAGCAUGCGUUUGCCUCGGAGGAGGUGAUCGUGUUGGACUUGCACGUAAGGUUGACUUCAGCUGGAACGCUGUGGACAAUGCCCAAUUGAGUGGUAUGUUGUGCACUUGUGCUCGACUUGUUACUAGAUUGGUGUGUGGUCUGUUUCGGUGGGGGUCCUUUGUGUGUGAUGUAUUGAUGCGGUUGCUGUUUGCACUUCUGGGCUUGAAUGUGUGUGUUGGACUGCGCGUUUUACAACGGAGGCCUAUUUGGGAAAUGAGUGUGUUUCGGCACAUGGAACUUCAAAUUGGACCUGAUAUC